Molecule: long non-coding RNA, 446 nt
Filed under: Setaria viridis
Lineage: Eukaryota; Viridiplantae; Streptophyta; Magnoliopsida; Poales; Poaceae
Description: long non-coding RNA (SVIR_LNC004697)
Source: RNAcentral
GAAGUUCCAAUACCUGGAAGGUGUUUCGCACUUGUUUUUGCAUAAAUCUUUUGUGUUUGCUUCCAUGUUACUUCUGAGCCUUCCUAGCUUUGUCCGUAAGGUCAGUAGGUCCUCUGUGACUACGUGAUCUUGAUAGUAGCAAGAACAGAGGGUUGAAGGGUUCUUUGGGACUUAGAUCAAGUUUAUUGGAGAGUUCUUGAAUUGGCACUCAUUCACCCCCCAUUUGGUCACCCUUUUCGGUUCUUCAUUUCAUAUCAGAGCCGGUUAAGGUUUCUCCAUACCCUAAUCGGUUUUGAGAUCCAAAAUGGCAACCUCUGAGCGUUCUUCCUCAACUGUACCUCCCUACUUUGAUGGCUCUGACUAUUGGUAUUGGAAAACACGCAUGAGAGCCCAUCUAAAUAGUAGAGGCGCAGGGGUUUGGGAAAUCACUCAGGAUGUUAUGUAUG